GUAGAGAUGGCUCAGUGGUUUAGAGCAUUGGAUGCCCUUCCAGAGGACCUGGGUUCAAUUCCCAGCACCCACA
Molecule: transfer RNA, 73 nt
Filed under: Mesocricetus auratus (golden hamster)
Lineage: Eukaryota; Metazoa; Chordata; Mammalia; Rodentia; Cricetidae
Rfam family: tRNA
About the family: Transfer RNA (tRNA) molecules are approximately 80 nucleotides in length.
Source: Rfam by way of RNAcentral